GCCUACAGCCAUGUUACCCCGAACAAGCCUGAUCCAGUCUGAUCUCGGAAGCUAAGCAGGGUUGGGCCAGGUUAGUACUUGGAUGGGAGACCACCUAGGAAGACCAGGUGCUAUAGGCG
Molecule: ribosomal RNA, 119 nt
Filed under: Pteropus alecto (black flying fox)
Lineage: Eukaryota; Metazoa; Chordata; Mammalia; Chiroptera; Pteropodidae
Source: RNAcentral